UCCGUAGGUGAACCUGCGGUUGGAUCACCAAAAAUGGGUUUUACACCUUUACACUGUGUGAACUGUAAACGUCCUUGGUGAGACCAACUCGGUCGAGAUGACUCACCACAUGUUUUAACCUGUAUUAAGUUAGUCUUGAUUUUCUUUUAUCAAUAAGAAACAACUUUUGACAACGGAUCUCUUGGCUCUCGCAACGAUGAAGAACGCAGCGAAAUGCGAUACGUAAUGUGAAUUGCAGAAUCCAGUGAAUCAUCGAAUCUUUGAACGCAUAUUGCGCUCCCUGGUAACCCGGAGAGCAUGCCUGUUUGAGUAUCUACAUAUCUCAACACCAACUGGUGAUUGGAAGUGAGUUGUGUCUGAUAGACUGGCUUGAAAUGUAGUGUUGAAGGAGAUUCCGUCGCUUUUCGGAAGGGAUAGUAAUUGAAUGAGUGGUAUACUCAGCAUUUUCUAAUUCCUAAUGAGAGGCGUGGAAUCUAGCCGCUUGGCACUUUCGGCAGAAAGUUAUAGAGCGUUGCUCUGGAACAUGGUCUCAAAUCAGGUAGGAAGACCCGCUGAACUUAAGCAUAUCAAUAAGCGGAGGAAAAGAAACUAACAAGGAUUCCCCUAGUAACGGCGAGUGAAGCGGGAAAAGCUCAAAUUUGAAAUCACACGGGAUUCCUGUGCGAAUUGUAGUUUAAAGAGUCGUUUUCGGGGCCCUUUUGAACACAAGUUCUUUGGAACAAGACAUCAUAGAGGGUGAGAAUCCCGUCUUUGGUUCAAUAUGGGCUCCCUUGUGAUACGAUCUCGAAGAGUCGGUUUGUUUGGGAAUGCAGACCAAAAUGGGUGGUAAAUACCAUCUAAGGCUAAAUAUUGGCGAGAGACCGAUAGCGAACAAGUACCGUGAGGGAAAGAUGAAAAGAACUUUGAAAAGAGAGUUAAAUAGUACGUGAAAUUGUCAAAAGGGAAACGCUUGAAGU
Molecule: ribosomal RNA, 956 nt
Filed under: uncultured fungus
Lineage: Eukaryota; Fungi
Description: eukaryotic LSU rRNA
Rfam family: Eukaryotic large subunit ribosomal RNA (bases 525-956)
Source: RNAcentral